UACGAAGGGGGCUAGCGUUGCUCGGAAUCACUGGGCGUAAAGGGCGCGUAGGCGGCGUUUUAAGUCGGGGGUGAAAGCCUGUGGCUCAACCACAGAAUGGCCUUCGAUACUGGGACGCUUGAGUAUGGUAGAGGUUGGUGGAAACUGCGAGUGUAGAGGUGAAAAUUCGUAGAUAUUCGCAAGAACACCGGUGGCGAAGGCGGCCAAACUGGACCAUUACUGACGCUGAGGCGCGAAAGCGUGGGGGAGCAAAACAGG
Molecule: ribosomal RNA, 258 nt
Filed under: uncultured bacterium
Lineage: Bacteria
Description: partial 16S ribosomal RNA
Rfam family: Bacterial small subunit ribosomal RNA
Source: RNAcentral